RNAcentral lists this long non-coding RNA (473 nucleotides) under Citrus maxima (pomelo). Its description in RNAcentral is "long non-coding RNA (CMAX_LNC001779)". The record is from RNAcentral. Lineage: Eukaryota; Viridiplantae; Streptophyta; Magnoliopsida; Sapindales; Rutaceae.
AAAGUCAUAUUGGUGGUUGUGUAGUUAAGUUAGUUGUCGUUCUAACUGCAUAUAACAUGGGAGUUGAAACCAUACUCAGUGAAGCCAAGUCAUUUAUCAUGCAUCACAGUGCCGUGAGAUUAGCAUCUAGCUAUAGCUAUUUUGCACUUACUUGAAACUAAAUAAUUAUUUGGCUCAUCUCAUGCGCCAUCUUCCCGCGGUUAUAGACAAGACGAACCAAAUAGACACUCUCGAGCCGCUACAAAAGUGAGAAGUUUGCCACGUGUCAAAUUAAAAAAGGGCAGAAGAGAGAUAUUUAAAAAGAUAAAAUAAAAUAAAAUAAACAAAAGCCGCAAUAAAAUAUAAUAUCUAAUCUCUCAAAAUGGAAUAAAACCAGAGAUAUACCCUUUCUAAACAAACGGAUAUUCCAGAACCGACCUCCCGAAUAUUCUUCUCUUACCGUUAUAUCUCCCACGCCCACCCUUUUCUCUGCC